This 281-nucleotide unclassified non-coding RNA is filed under the name Hevea brasiliensis (rubber tree). Lineage: Eukaryota; Viridiplantae; Streptophyta; Magnoliopsida; Malpighiales; Euphorbiaceae. The record is from RNAcentral.
CCCGUACUUCUCUCUCAAUGCCUUGUGCACUUUACUCCCAUCAACAUCUCUAUACCCAAAACUAUUACCAUCGUACCCAACUGGCGCCUGCAGGUCCCCUUUCUCCGUAGACCACCCAAGACGAGUGUGCCCCGUCUCUCCCAAGCUCGCCAGUUUAAUCUCAAAGUACCAAGCGCCUUCACAAACACCUCUGGUAGCUCUCACCAUUCUAUACCCUUUCGUACUUCCAGCACUCAAUCUAUCUUCACUCAACUCUACUUUCUCAGCUUUGUAUACUUUGG